RNAcentral lists this long non-coding RNA (565 nucleotides) under Triticum aestivum (bread wheat). RNAcentral describes it as "long non-coding RNA (TAES_LNC021978)". The record is from RNAcentral. Lineage: Eukaryota; Viridiplantae; Streptophyta; Magnoliopsida; Poales; Poaceae.
CUAAGCAUGCCAUAUAUUACAUCAAAAGCUAGUGAGGAUACAUCUGUUUCCAUAACUCGGAGAGGGUUCACAUGAUUCAUCGCAUGAUUCACUAUCAAACAAAAGUAGCAAGAUCCGCCCACACAAGACAGUGCACUAGCCCUAAGAUGGUUUGAUAACAUGCAUCAUUUCUGGUAAUUAAACACAGGGCAAUGCAAACUACCCUGAAGGAUUAGCGCGACCAACUAUUUCUUAUCAUCGAUCUCUCGGGCAAUGACCACAACACGGACAACAGCAUGGGAAUCGAUUUUUGGGGCGAUGUCCACAGGACUGACCGCGACAUCGGAAUCGAUCUCUGGGGCGAUGUCCACAGGAUGGACAGCGGUAUCGGAAUCGAUCUCUGGGGCGAUGCCAACAGGACAGGCCACAACAUCGGAAUCAUCAAGGACAACCACCGGCACCUGCACAACACUAACAUAUUAGCAAGCACAUUGCAAAUAAUCAAAAAGCAAGCACAUUGCAAAUAAUCAAAAACCACAACUAUGGUAAUAAUCCAUUAUUUUUUACCUUGUGCAGCUCACCGGGG